Molecule: ribosomal RNA, 253 nt
Filed under: uncultured bacterium
Lineage: Bacteria
Description: partial 16S ribosomal RNA
Rfam family: Bacterial small subunit ribosomal RNA
Source: RNAcentral
UACAGAGGUCUCAAGCGUUGUUCGGAUUCAUUGGGCGUAAAGGGUGCGUAGGUGGCGCCGUAAGUCGGGUGUGAAAUUUCGGAGCUUAACUCCGAAACUGCAUUCGAUACUGCGGUGCUUGAGGACUGGAGAGGAGACUGGAAUUCAUGGUGUAGCAGUGAAAUGCGUAGAGAUCAUGAGGAAGACCAGUGGCGAAGGCGGGUCUCUGGACAGUUCCUGACACUGAGGCACGAAAGCGUGGGGAGCAAACAGG